AGAACUGCCCAUGAGCUCGGGACGUUAACCCUCCGGCCCCCGGAAGGGAGGGAGGGGCCCUGCCCCUCGGCUCUGGCUGCUCGCGGACGGGACUCCAGGGAGCACCCACUUUCUUCUCACACGCUCAUUCAACAGCAAACCCCUUAGAGUGGCCCAGGAAGAGGGGGACAAAGCUUCACGGCACAGAAUCUACAGCCGUGCUCCUCAGAGGGGCGUGCGACAGCGGGAAGCCCGGAACACAAGGCGUCCCCACGAACUCCCAGAUGCCUGCAUGGAGGUGGGUGCCACGCUACAUGAGCUGUCACUGCUGCCUCCCAGGGACUGCAGUAGCAGGAUCCAAAGCUCUCCUCUGUGGCCUGAGAAAGCAGAAGAAGAUGGCCCAAGUCCUAGAGCCCCUGCACCUGUAUGGGAGACCUGGAAAAAGCUCCUGGCUCCAGAUUGGCCCAGCUCUGGCCGUUGCAGCCAUUUGGGGAGUGAAUGAAUGGAAGAUUCUCUGUUUCUCUCUCUGCCUCUCCUUUUCUGUGUAACUCUGCCUUUCAAAUAAAUAAAUCUUAAAAAAAAAAAAAAAAGACAUAAAACCAGUAAAAAACAAAACAAAACAAAAAACCAGUCAAGUCUGUAUGUAUUCCAAUCUCCGGCCUCUCAUUGCUGAACGUUUAAGCGCUGUCUUCCUUUGAAUGGAGUCCUGGCAGCUCUCUCUAGACAGUCCCGUCAGAACACGAGAAGUGUGACCUGGGCCUUCUGGAAAUCUCUGCUGGAGCCAUGACUGCUGCCCUUCCUCAGCCCACAGUCCGUGCCCUUCCUCCUGUGACUGCCCGGCAGGUGGGUACCCUGUGCAGGAAGGCUUGGGUGCUAGACGUGAAGGGCAGCAGACAGCUCAGCUGCCAGUUCUCACACCUCCCCAGGCAUCAGGGCUGGCUGGAGGAGCUUUGAGAACAGACUCAUGGCCCAUCCCCAUUUUGCCUU
Molecule: non-coding RNA, 966 nt
Organism: Oryctolagus cuniculus (rabbit)
Lineage: Eukaryota; Metazoa; Chordata; Mammalia; Lagomorpha; Leporidae
Source: RefSeq, a predicted model, not a curated record